UACAGAGGUCUCGAGCGUUAGGCGGAAUCACUGGGCUUAAAGCGUGUGUAGGCGGAUCGGUAAGUACCUUGUGAAAAUCCCACAGCUUAACUGUGGAACUGCUUGGUAUACUGCCAGUCUUGAGCCAGCUAGGGGCUACCGGAACAAAUGGUGGAGCGGUGAAAUGCGUAGAUAUCAAUUUGGAACGCCAAUGGUGAAAACAGGUAGCUGGGGCUGUGCUGACGCUGAGACACGAAAGCCAGGGGAGCAAACGGG
RNAcentral lists this ribosomal RNA (255 nucleotides) under uncultured bacterium. RNAcentral's name for it is "partial 16S ribosomal RNA". It matches the Rfam family "Bacterial small subunit ribosomal RNA", at positions 524 to 776 of the family's 1533-position model. The record is from RNAcentral.